RNAcentral lists this long non-coding RNA (319 nucleotides) under Phoenix dactylifera (date palm). RNAcentral describes it as "long non-coding RNA (PDAC_LNC000988)". The record is from RNAcentral. Lineage: Eukaryota; Viridiplantae; Streptophyta; Magnoliopsida; Arecales; Arecaceae.
AUAAUCGAGUAGGAGCGCUCGGCUAGAAAGAGCCGACCAGAGGAUGCCGACCAGAGAAGCGCUCGACUAGAAAGCGCUGACCAGAGACAAAAAGCGCCAAAUAGUGGCGCUCGGCUAGAAGGUGCUCGUCCGAAGGGCGCCGACCAGAAGUACUAGAAGUGACCCCGCCACAGGGCGCCCCGUCGGGCGACCGGCUCGGCUCGGCACCCCUGCCGAGCCAAUGCCUUAACCAAAUGUUCAACUUUCGCCUAACCCUCUAAGCCUGAGGGACCUGACAAACUCCACUACAACAUGCCGCUAUCUCCAAGCCAUCAAGGCA